GGCCUCUUAGUUUCUGCCCAUCUAUGGAACUGUACCAUGCUGAGAAGGAAAAAGGCAUCACCUGCACUGCUUGUGGCAGCAGGUUAAACAUCCAAGCCAGCAUCCAGAGUGGCAUCAGGGCAUCUGGCUGGUCGUUUAUUUACAGCUGUCUGGUUUCUCUACAAAAUGAAGAAUGAGCCCAGAAAAGAAAAAUAUGCUAAUUGCAACCAGAAACGGUUGUCAGUAUGGUAACGGACAGAACAUAAAAAUAAUCAGGAAACACUGGCAUAUCCAAUUGCAUGCAAACAUCCUAGAUAUAACGUUUCCACUGGACUGGUUAGAAGAAUGACAUAGGGCAGGGGAGGAACAGUCCCACAGUAAGAGGAACAAGGCAAAGUUUUAAUGGGCUGUUUUCCAACUGCUUCUGGCUUCCUGGAGAUGUGACAGUUAAACGGGAUGUUUUGCUGGCCUCCUGUGGGAUGGGAGUCCAAGAAAAGCACCAACAUGUCUGCUACUUGGAUCCAACUCAAGCCCUAAAGUGGGAUAAAUUUAAUUGGCAAUGCUGAUACUCCUUUCCUCUUUGCAAAUAUUCAUGAAAUUUUGUGUAGUUUGCAAGCAAGUGUAGACUACUAAAAUACUUUGUGAAAUAGAAUUAACAUUUCCCUCCAGCUCCUAUAAAUUAUUUAUAUCAGUGCUUUUUCAUGUCUGUUCAGUGUCCAGUCUUUCAUCAGACAUUAAGUUAAUAAGAAAAAUAAGUGUUUCU
Long non-coding RNA from Gallus gallus (chicken), 742 nucleotides. RefSeq lists it as uncharacterized. NCBI's taxonomy places the organism in Eukaryota, Metazoa, Chordata, Aves, Galliformes, Phasianidae. The record is from RefSeq and is a predicted model, not a curated record. The transcript has 5 exons.